UACGUAGGGUGCGAGCGUUGUCCGGAAUUAUUGGGCGUAAAGAGCUCGUAGGCGGUGUGUCACGUCGGCCGUGAAAACCUGCAGCUUAACUGUGGGCUUGCGGUCGAUACGGGCAUCACUGGAGUUCGGCAGGGGAGACUGGAAUUCCUGGUGUAGCGGUGAAAUGCGCAGAUAUCAGGAGGAACACCGGUGGCGAAGGCGGGUCUCUGGGCCGACACUGACGCUCAUGCACGAAAGCGUGGGGAGCAAACAGG
This 254-nucleotide ribosomal RNA is filed under the name uncultured bacterium. RNAcentral describes it as "partial 16S ribosomal RNA". It matches the Rfam family "Bacterial small subunit ribosomal RNA", at positions 524 to 776 of the family's 1533-position model. The record is from RNAcentral.